RNAcentral lists this ribosomal RNA (253 nucleotides) under uncultured bacterium. RNAcentral's name for it is "partial 16S ribosomal RNA". It matches the Rfam family "Bacterial small subunit ribosomal RNA", at positions 524 to 776 of the family's 1533-position model. The record is from RNAcentral.
UACGUAGGGUGCAAGCGUUGUCCGGAAUUAUUGGGCGUAAAGAGCUCGUAGGCGGUUUGUUGCGUCGGCUGUGAAAUCCCGAGGCUCAACCUCGGGUCUGCAGUCGAUACGAGCAAACUAGAGUGUUGCAGGGGAGACUGGAAUUCCUGGUGUAGCGGUGAAAUGCGCAGAUAUCAGGAGGAACACCGGUGGCGAAGGCGGGUCUCUGGGCAACAACUGACGCUGAGGCGCGAAAGCGUGGGUAGCAAACGGG